Molecule: ribosomal RNA, 253 nt
Filed under: uncultured bacterium
Lineage: Bacteria
Description: partial 16S ribosomal RNA
Rfam family: Bacterial small subunit ribosomal RNA
Source: RNAcentral
UACAGAGACUGCAAGCGUUAUUCGGAUUCACUGGGCGUAAAGGGUGCGCAGGCGGCCAAGUGUGUGAGGCGUGAAAGCCCGGGGCUUAACCCCGGAAUUGCACCUCAAACUACUCGGCUAGAGCAUUGGAGAGGGUAGCAGAAUUCAUGGUGUAGCAGUGAAAUGCGUAGAUAUCAUGAGGAAUACCAGAGGCGAACGCGGCUACCUGGACAAUUGCUGACGCUCAGGCACGAAAGCGUGGGGAGCAAAAGGG